UCAUUAGUUUUUUAAUUGAAAGCUUGUAUGAAUGGUUUGAUGAGAAAAUUACUUUCUAAGUUUAAAUUUUUAAAAAUUUUAUUUUUAAGUUAAAAAGCUUAAAUAUCAUUAAAAGACGAGAAGACCCUAUAGAGUUUAAUUUAAUAAAAAUUUUAAAUUUUUAGAAUUUAAAUUUUAUAAUUUUAAUUAAAUUUGAUUGGGGUGAUAAAAAAAUUAAAUAAACUUUUUUUUAUAAUAACAUUAAUAAAUGAUUAAUUGAUCCAUAAAAAUGAUUAUAAGAAUAAAUUACCUUAGGGAUAACAGCGUAAUUUUUUUUUAGAGUUCUUAUCGAAAAAAAAGAUUGCCACCUCGAUGUUGGAUUAAAAUUAAAUUUAGGUGUAGAAGCUUAAA
This 390-nucleotide ribosomal RNA is filed under the name Harmonia sedecimnotata. Its description in RNAcentral is "partial 16S ribosomal RNA". Lineage: Eukaryota; Metazoa; Arthropoda; Insecta; Coleoptera; Coccinellidae. The record is from RNAcentral.